This 301-nucleotide ribosomal RNA is filed under the name uncultured bacterium. RNAcentral describes it as "partial 16S ribosomal RNA". It matches the Rfam family "Bacterial small subunit ribosomal RNA", at positions 509 to 807 of the family's 1533-position model. The record is from RNAcentral.
CAGCCGCCGCGGUAAUACGUAGGUGGCAAGCGUUGUCCGGAAUUAUUGGGCGUAAAGGGCUCGCAGGCGGUUUCUUAAGUCUGAUGUGAAAGCCCCCGGCUCAACCGGGGAGGGUCAUUGGAAACUGGGAAACUUGAGUGCAGAAGAGGAGAGUGGAAUUCCACGUGUAGCGGUGAAAUGCGUAGGGAUGUGGAGGAACACCAGUGGCGAAGGCGACUCUCUGGUCUGUAACUGACGCUGAGGAGCGAAAGCGUGGGGAGCGAACAGGAUUAGAUACCCCGGUAGUCCCUGUCUCUUAUAC